RNAcentral lists this ribosomal RNA (762 nucleotides) under Salmonella enterica. RNAcentral describes it as "partial 23S ribosomal RNA". It matches the Rfam family "Bacterial large subunit ribosomal RNA", at positions 137 to 839 of the family's 2925-position model. Lineage: Bacteria; Pseudomonadati; Pseudomonadota; Gammaproteobacteria; Enterobacterales; Enterobacteriaceae. The record is from RNAcentral.
GACUCGUCACACUAUCAUUAACUGAAUCCAUAGGUUAAUGAGGCGAACCGGGGGAACUGAAACAUCUAAGUACCCCGAGGAAAAGAAAUCAACCGAGAUUCCCCCAGUAGCGGCGAGCGAACGGGGAGGAGCCCAGAGCCUGAAUCAGCAUGUGUGUUAGUGGAAGCGUCUGGAAAGGCGCGCGAUACAGGGUGACAGCCCCGUACACAAAAGCGCAUGUGCUGUGAGCUCGAUGAGUAGGGCGGGACACGUGGUAUCCUGUCUGAAUAUGGGGGGACCAUCCUCCAAGGCUAAAUACUCCUGACUGACCGAUAGUGAACCAGUACCGUGAGGGAAAGGCGAAAAGAACCCCGGCGAGGGGAGUGAAAAAGAACCUGAAACCGUGUACGUACAAGCAGUGGGAGCCCCACCACUAAGCCAGUGGUGAACUCCACAUACGCAUCCUUUGCUGAGGAUACGGUUAACGGAGCGAAAGCGACGUUCAACCGCAAAAGAAGCAGAGGGGGCUUAGUGGUGGGGUGACUGCGUACCUUUUGUAUAAUGGGUCAGCGACUUAUAUUCUGUAGCAAGGUUAACCGUAUAGGGGAGCCGGAGGGAAACCGAGUCUUAACCGGGCGUUAAGUUGCAGGGUAUAGACCCGAAACCCGGUGAUCUAGCCAUGGGCAGGUUGAAGGUUGGGUAACACUAACUGGAGGACCGAACCGACUAAUGUUGAAAAAUUAGCGGAUGACCUGUGGCUGGGGGUGAAAGGCCAAUCAAACC